CCUACGGGAGGCAGCAGUAGGGAAUCUUCGGCAAUGGACGAAAGUCUGACCGAGCAACGCCGCGUGAGUGAAGAAGGUUUUCGGAUCGUAAAACUCUGUUGUUAGAGAAGAACGUUGCAUAGAGUGGAAAAUUAUGCAAGUGACGGUAUCUAACCAGAAAGGGACGGCUAACUACGUGCCAGCAGCCGCGGUAAUACGUAGGUCCCGAGCGUUGUCCGGAUUUAUUGGGCGUAAAGCGAGCGCAGGUGGUUUAAUAAGUCUGAUGUAAAAGGCAGUGGCUCAACCAUUGUGUGCAUUGGAAACUGUUAGACUUGAGUGCAGUAGAGGAGAGUGGAAUUCCAUGUGUAGCGGUGAAAUGCGUAGAUAUAUGGAGGAACACCGGUGGCGAAAGCGGCUCUCUGGACUGUCACUGACACUGAGGCUCGAAAGCGUGGGUAGCAAACAGGAUUAGAUACCCUGGUAGUCCACGCCGUAAACGAUGAGUGCUAGUUGUUUGGGGCUAUCCAGCCCUAAGUGACGCAGCAAACGCAUUAAGCACUCCGCCUGGGGAGUACGACCGCAAGGUUGAAACUCAAAUGAAUUGACGG
This 587-nucleotide ribosomal RNA is filed under the name uncultured prokaryote. RNAcentral's name for it is "bacterial SSU rRNA". It matches the Rfam family "Bacterial small subunit ribosomal RNA", at positions 338 to 916 of the family's 1533-position model. The record is from RNAcentral.